This 632-nucleotide ribosomal RNA is filed under the name Salmonella enterica subsp. enterica serovar Typhimurium. RNAcentral describes it as "partial 23S ribosomal RNA". It matches the Rfam family "Bacterial large subunit ribosomal RNA", at positions 830 to 1374 of the family's 2925-position model. The record is from RNAcentral. Lineage: Bacteria; Pseudomonadati; Pseudomonadota; Gammaproteobacteria; Enterobacterales; Enterobacteriaceae.
CAAUCAAACCGGGAGAUAGCUGGUUCUCCCCGAAAGCUAUUUAGGUAGCGCCUCGUGAAUUCAUCUCCGGGGGUAGAGCACUGUUUCGGCUAGGGGGCCAUCCCGGCUUACCAACCCGAUGCAAACUGCGAAUACCGGAGAAUGUUAUCACGGGAGACACACGGCGGGUGCUAACGUCCGUCGUGAAGAGGGAAACAACCCAGACCGCCAGCUAAGGUCCCAAAGUCAUGGUUAAGUGGGAAACGAUGUGGGAAGGCCCAGACAGCCAGGAUGUUGGCUUAGAAGCAGCCAUCAUUUAAAGAAAGCGUAAUAGCUCACUGGUCGAGUCGGCCUGCGCGGAAGAUGUAACGGGGCUAAACCAUGCACCGAAGCUGCGGCAGCGAACGUAUCACCCAAGACAACUUUACGGAGUUGACGAUUGACGGAGCGAAGCGACGUCAAAGCGUUCAUUAAAGUCGAGUUGGCUUAGGGAUACGUUCGUUGGGUAGGGGAGCGUUCUGUAAGCCUGUGAAGGUGUGUCGUGAGGCAUGCUGGAGGUAUCAGAAGUGCGAAUGCUGACAUAAGUAACGAUAAAGCGGGUGAAAAGCCCGCUCGCCGGAAGACCAAGGGUUCCUGUCCAACGUUAAUCGGGG